AUAGGGUCAAGUGAAUAAGAGCACGUGGUGGAUGCCUUGGCAAUGAUAGGCGACGAAGGACGUGAUAGCCUGCGAUAAGCUUCGGGGAGCUGGCAAAUUAGCUUUGAUCCGGAGAUUUCCGAAUGGGGAAACCCACCGAAAGGUAUCGCAUAGUGAAUACAUAGCUAUGCGAGGCGAACCGGGUGAACUGAAACAUCUCAGUAGCUCGAGGAAAAGACAUCAACCGAGAUUCCGAAAGUAGUGGCGAGCGAAAUCGGAAGAGCCUGUUAGUGAUAGCACAAGACAUAACGGAACAGUUUGGAAAGACUGGCCAUAGCGGGUGAUAGCCCCGUACGUGAAAUGACCUGUGUGGUACUAAGCUAACGACAAGUAGGGCGGGACACGAGAAAUCCUGUCUGAAUAUGGGGGGACCAUCCUCCAAGGCUAAAUACUCAUCAUUGACCGAUAGUGAACUAGUACCGUGAGGGAAAGGCGAAAAGAACCCCGGGAGGGGAGUGAAAUAGAUCCUGAAACCGCGUGCUUACAAAAAGUAGGAGCCUCGUAAGGGGUGACUGCGUACCUUUUGUAUAAUGGGUCAGCGACUUACAUUCAGUGGCAAGGUUAACCGAAUAGGGAAGCCGUAGAGAAAUCGAGUCCGAAUAGGGCGAUCAGUCGCUGGGUGUAGACCCGAAACCAAGUGAUCUAUCCAUGGCCAGGAUGAAGGUGCCGUAACAGGUACUGGAGGUCCGAACCGACUAGUGUUGCAAAACUAGCGGAUGAGCUGUGGAUAGGGGUGAAAGGCUAAACAAACUUGGAAAUAGCUGGUUCUCUCCGAAAACUAUUUAGGUAGUGCCUCAAGUAUUACCAUCGGGGGUAGAGCACUGUUUUGGCUAGGGGGUCAUGGCGACUUACCAAACCAAGGCAAACUCCGAAUACCGAUGAGUACAGCUUGGGAGACAGAGCACCGGGUGCUAACGUCCGGACUCAAGAGGGAAACAACCCAGACCGCCAGCUAAGGUCCCUAAAAUUGGCUAAGUGGGAAACGAAGUGGGAAGGCUAAAACAGUCAGGAUGUUGGCUUAGAAGCAGCCAUCAUUUAAAGAAAGCGUAAUAGCUCACUGAUCGAGUCGUCCUGCGCGGAAGAUGUAACGGGGCUAAGCCAGUUACCGAAGCUGCGGAUUUGCAAUUUAUUGCAAGUGGUAGGAGAGCGUUCUGUAAGCCUGUGAAGGUGCGUUGUAAAGCGUGCUGGAGGUAUCAGAAGUG
RNAcentral lists this ribosomal RNA (1241 nucleotides) under Variovorax sp. 770b2. RNAcentral's name for it is "bacterial LSU rRNA". It matches the Rfam family "Bacterial large subunit ribosomal RNA", at positions 1 to 1290 of the family's 2925-position model. The record is from RNAcentral. Lineage: Bacteria; Pseudomonadati; Pseudomonadota; Betaproteobacteria; Burkholderiales; Comamonadaceae.